This 586-nucleotide ribosomal RNA is filed under the name uncultured bacterium. Its description in RNAcentral is "partial 16S ribosomal RNA". It matches the Rfam family "Bacterial small subunit ribosomal RNA", at positions 355 to 1375 of the family's 1533-position model. The record is from RNAcentral.
UGGGGAAUUUUGGACAAUGGGCGAAAGCCUGAUCCAGCAAUGCCGCGUGUGUGAAGAAGGCCUUCGGGUUGUAAAGCACUUUUGUCCGGAAAGAAAUCCUUAGCUCUAAUACAGUCGGGGGAUGACGGUACCGGAAGAAUAAGCACCGGCUAACUACGUGCCAGCAGCCGCGGUAAUACGUAGGGUGCAAGCGUUAAUCGGAAUUACUGGGCGUAAAGCGUGCGCAGGCGGUUUGCUAAGACCGAUGUGAAAUCCCCGGGCUCAACCUGGGAACUGCAUUGGUGACUGGCAGGCUAGAGUAUGGCAGAGGGGGGUAGAAUUCCACGUGUAGCAGUGAAAUGCGUAGAGAUGUGGAGGAAUACCGAUGGCGAAGGCAGCCCCCUGGGCCAAUACUGACGCUCAUGCACGAAAGCGUGGGGGAGCAAACAGGAUUAGAUACCCUGGUAGUCCACGCCCUAAACGAUGUCAACUAGUUGUUGGGGAUUCAUUUCCUUAGUAACGUAGCUAACGCGUGAAGUUGACCGCCUGGGGAGUACGGUCGCAAGAUUAAAACUUAAAUGAAUUGACGGGGUCAUAGCUGUUUCCU